This 333-nucleotide unclassified non-coding RNA is filed under the name soil metagenome. RNAcentral describes it as "partial contains 5.8S ribosomal RNA, internal transcribed spacer 2, and large subunit ribosomal RNA". The stretch from base 1 to 121 matches the Rfam family "5.8S ribosomal RNA", at positions 35 to 154 of the family's 154-position model. The record is from RNAcentral.
GAUGAAGAACGGAGCGAAAUGCGAUAAGUAAUGCGAAUUGCAGAAUUUCCGUGAAUCAUCGAAUCUUUGAACGCACAUUGCGCCCGCCAGUAUUCUGGCGGGCAUGCCUGUCCGAGCGUCAUUUCAACCAUCAAGCCCCGGGCUUGUGUUGGGGACCUGCGUCCGACGCAGGCCCUGAAAACCAGUGGCGGGCUCGCUGUCCACACCGAGCGUAGUAACUAACCUCGCUAUGGAGUGGCGCGGGCGCCUGCCGUAAAACCCCCAAUUUCACAAGGUUGACCUCGGAUCAGGUAGGAAUACCCGCUGAACUUAAGCAUAUCAAUAAGCGGAGGA